Molecule: ribosomal RNA, 493 nt
Filed under: uncultured bacterium
Lineage: Bacteria
Description: bacterial SSU rRNA
Rfam family: Bacterial small subunit ribosomal RNA
Source: RNAcentral
GAUGAACGCUAGCUACAGGCUUAACACAUGCAAGUCGAGGGGAAACGACAUCGAAAGCUUGCUUUUGAUGGGCGUCGACCGGCGCACGGGUGAGUAACGCGUAUCCAACCUGCCCAUCACUUGGGGAUAACCUUGCGAAAGUAAGACUAAUACCCAAUGACGUCUCUAGACGACAUCUGAAAGGGAUUAAAGAUUUAUCGGUGAUGGAUGGGGAUGCGUCCGAUUAGCUGGUUGGUACGGUAACGGCGUACCAAGGCUACGAUCGGUAGGGGUUCUGAGAGGAAGGUCCCCCCACAUUGGAACUGAGACACGGUCCAAACUCCUACGGGAGGCAGCAGUGAGGAAUAUUGGUCAAUGGGCGGAAGCCUGAACCAGCCAAGUAGCGUGCAGGACGACGGCCCUAUGGGUUGUAAACUGCUUUUAUAAGGGAAUAAAGUGAGUCUCGUGAGACUUUUUGCAUGUACCUUAUGAAUAAGGACCGGCUAAUUCCGUG